Octopus sinensis (East Asian common octopus) is the source of this 471-nucleotide long non-coding RNA. RefSeq lists it as uncharacterized. The transcript is spliced from 2 exons. The record is from RefSeq and is a predicted model, not a curated record. Lineage: Eukaryota; Metazoa; Mollusca; Cephalopoda; Octopoda; Octopodidae.
GAACGUGGAGAGAUUCAGGGCAAUGAAAACAGACGGAGAAAAACAUUCUUUUAAUGAAAACAAUUUUAAAAUAAAAUAAAUGAUGGUUAUAAACAGAUUGGUUGUGAGACUUGGCCAUUGUCCAGGGCCCUGUCUGAACUCCUUUGGUACCAGGAUGUUUCACAAGAUAAUAGGUAUUACAUAGGUCAGAUGGUCAUGUCAGUUGAUUUUCUGAAUCUGGAUCCUGUGUUUUCUUCUUUGAAGAUCCAGCUGGAGUGAUGGUCAGGUGCUGGUCAGCAAGCAUGCCACAUGGCCAUGGAGGAUGUGGGACCACUCGGACACGGCUUGAAGGGCUUCCCAGGAAGACCCAAGCAAUUACUGACAAAUAGUGGCAUGCUCGAUGGGGCAUGCCCCCAUAUCUGACCAGACAGAAAGAUCAAUUAAAUCCAUGGAUCAACUAUGUUCACAACUGAAUCAAAUAGCUACAAAAAA